GGAGACUGAUGAGGACGAGGAAGUCAUCUACAAAAUCGAAGUUCCGGCGAACAGAUACGACUUGCUUUGCCUCGAAGGGCUUGCUCAGGCCCUACGUGUAUUCAAUAAGCAGGAGGAGACACCUCAAUAGAGUCUUCGUAACAUCAGCAGGGGAUCAAUGCUUAAGAUGCAUGUAAAACCAGAGACCUCACAAAUCCGUCCAUACAUUGUUUCUGCUGUCUUAAGAGGGAUAACAUUUGAUGAAGCCAGUUAUAACAGCUUCAUUGAUCUUCAAGACAAGCU
This is a long non-coding RNA of Eucalyptus grandis, 282 nucleotides long. RefSeq lists it as uncharacterized. The record is from RefSeq and is a predicted model, not a curated record. The transcript is spliced from 3 exons. NCBI's taxonomy places the organism in Eukaryota, Viridiplantae, Streptophyta, Magnoliopsida, Myrtales, Myrtaceae.